RNAcentral lists this long non-coding RNA (6534 nucleotides) under Zostera marina. RNAcentral describes it as "long non-coding RNA (ZMAR_LNC003740)". The record is from RNAcentral. Lineage: Eukaryota; Viridiplantae; Streptophyta; Magnoliopsida; Alismatales; Zosteraceae.
CUUCUUUUUAUUCCAAUGUUUCUGUUCUUUGGAUCUUUAAUUUCAAUCUCAAGAUUGUUUUUGUUUUAUAUUUUUGUAGUUUUGGAUUUAGGGUUUGCAUAUAUGAUAUAUUAUACUGUCCGUUGGAACUUCUCCAGUUCUCCGGAUGGUGAAGAUGCUAACAAAAAAAAGAGGGAUUCAAAUGUAGAGAAAUUUUAAGUGUUCGACUUUAAAAUGAGACAUUCGACUGGGGAUGAUUAACUUUAAGAAGUUGCAGCAGCAGUGGAUUGAAGAAAUCCUCCAAACGGCGACGAUGUGGGAGUAGAGAACGGUGAUGGAGAGAGAUGUCGACGUUGAUGCUGUGGCAGAAGUAGAAGCAGUGUUAAAAGCAACUGGAUCACUCAGAGUUUAAUCCUACAUCUGGAUCACUCCACACCACAAAAUCAUUAUCAUCAGCGUCAUAAGUUUCUCCAGCCCAAAGCUCAUCAUUCUUGCUUGAUCCACGAGACUCCCACAUACUAUAAGGCAAACCAAACAGAAGAGGCUCUUCACCCUCAGAAUCAGAAGAAGAGUACAAAUCUUCAACAUCCGGCCCCAAAAUAUUCAAGGGCUUCAACAUUCAUCCCCUGUCUUCUCAGCUCUCUUAUCUGUCUGAGAUCUCUUGUGUGCCUUCUCAUCAACCUUCUUUCUUUCCUCUCAUUCUUACCUGCAGAUGGCAACAAAAAAUGAUGAAUUCAUAAUAAAGGAUGGAAGCUCAUACUAUAUAUCAGGAAGUGAUAACCCAAACUCAAGCUUGGUUGUAACUCCACUCAAUGGACCAAACUAUCAAACAUGGGUAGUUGAAAUCCAAAGAUCAUUAUCUACCAAAACACAAGUUAGGAUUCAUAAAUGGAUCCAUCAGCAAACCAAACAACAACACAGACAACUAUUUCAUUCCCUGGACCAGGUGCAAUGAUUUAGUCACUGCUUGAAUACUCAACAGUCGUUCAAAAGAAAUCAAAGGCAGUAUCAUUUUUAUAAAGGAUGCCACCACCCUCUGGGAAAACCUUAAACAUAAAUACAUCAGAGUCAACUCACUUGUCAUUUCACAGCUCAAAAGAUAAAUUGCACUAUGUACUCAAGGGAAUGAGUCAGUCAACAAUUAUUAUGCAAAAUUGCAAGGUCUGUGGAAUGAAUUAGACAACAAUCAAAUUUUUGAAUGUUGUGGCAAUUCAAACUGUAUUGCAAAAGAAAACAUGAACAGGCUGAUCAGUUUUACAACUGGUCUGAAUGACACAUUUCUGUCAAUAAGAGGACAGAUACUCAAGAAAAAGAUACCACCAUCUGUGGAUGAUGCUUUUAGAAUGGUACUCCAAGAAAAAACACAAAGGGAGUGCGUAUAUCCUGAGGAAGGGACUGUUUUAGCAACACAAUCCCAAAACAGUUUCACACCCAAAGCAGAAAACCAAAGUGAAGAUUUCAAACCAUAUUGUAUAAGAUGCAAAAAGUACAACCACAACAUAGAAAGUUGUUUUUAUGAAUACGAUUUUCCACCUGGCCAUGGACUUCAUAGGGUGGAUUUCAACAACAAAAAAAGACAACUCUACAAAGUACAAUGGAAAGAAGAACUACAAACCCAACAAAAGAUACAAAGGCAAAUACCAGAGUAAUAAUGCCAACACAGAAGAGAAGACCCAAGUCUUUGAAAACACUCAAGCUCCAAGGAACUUUAUCACCUGAGAAGAGUUGAUCUCCAUACUCUCUCAGGGAGAAAUCAUCAAGGGAAAUCAGCCACAAGCUCACAUGACAAUUGGAAGCUCAUCUGGUAUGUCCCACUCUAACAAUAACACAUGUUUCCACUCACACUAUUCACUAAACACCCCAGCAUGCACCCAAUCACAAAAUGAUUAUUGGAUCAUUGACACAGGGGCAACAGACCAUAUACUAAGACUAUUGUAGUGUCUUCUUUAUUUUUAUUUAUAAACAGAGAGUAGUCUGUUCUGCAUUGUUUGUAUCCAAGGUUGGACAGAGCAUUUGACAGAGUUUGACUCUGGAUGCUUGUUUCAAACCAUAUAAUGAUUUGUUUAAUUUACAAAUAGGGUUAUGUGGUGCAUUCUUAGGUAAUUCUAAUCCCAAUGGGAUCUUCAUGUAUUCCCCCAACACACCUUUAAAUAAUGUUAAAACCUUAUUGUAUCCAAUAAACAUCCACCUUCUAAACUCUCAAACCACUAAAAUUUCUGUUAGUGGCUCCACACAAAUUACAAAAGACAUUAUACUAAACAAUGUCUUAAAAUCCCAUCAUUUUCAGUCAAUCUACUAUCUGUAAGUCAACUUAUAAAAGAUAUGAAAUGUUCAUUCACCUUUUACCCUAUUUUCUGUUCCAUAUACAGGACCAACAGGGAAACCAGAUUGGUUUGGGUGAGAAAAAGAAUGGAUUCUACAUCCUAAAACAAGAUUAUCAGGCCAACCAUAACCAACAGAAGGAGACAAAGGAUGAAGAGAUUUGACAUCAAAGAUUAGGACACCCUGCAUCAUCUAGAUUUUAUCAUCUGAACAUCAUAAAUAAAUGUAUUCCAAAGAAUUUCACAAAAUUUUGUAAUACAUGUCCACUGUCUAAACAGACAAGACUCCUUUUUUCUUUAAGUUCAGACAAAACAACAAGAUGUUUUCAGUUGCUACAUUUAGAUAUAUGAGGAAAAUUUCAUAAACCCACACACCAAGGAAAUAACUAUUUUCUAGCCAUAGUAGAUGACUACUCAAUAGAAACUUGGGUAUUCCUAAUGACAAAUAAAACUGAAACAACCACUAAAUUCAAAAAAAUUUAAUCAAUAUCAAAAACCAACACCAAACCACUAUUCAUAUCAUAAGGUCAGACAAUGGAAUAGAAUUCUUAUCCAAAGAAUUCCAAAACAUACUGAAAUAAGAUGGAAUAGUCCAUCAACUAUCAUGCUCAUAUAUAUACUCUAUAACAAAAUAGGAGAGUUGAAAGAAAACAUUAACAUAUAUUACAAGUAGUUAGGUUACUAAUGAUCCGGCCAGUCCAACAUUUCUUUAAAAUUUUGGGGAGAAUGCAUUCUAACAACUGUUUUCCUAAUAAAUAGAACUUCAGCUGUUGUACUAAACAAUGAUACUCCAUUUUUUUAACUUUUUAAGGAACAACCAAAUCUAGACAUCCUAAAAAAUUUUGUCUGUCUAUGCUAUGCUACAAACAACAAAACAAAAUCAAAAUUCGAAAAUAGAUGUAUAAAAAAAAUAUUCAUUAGAUACUCCUUUCAAAGAAAAUGAUAUAACAUAUUAGAUCCAUCCACCUAAAAAAUCUUCACCAACAGAGAUGUAACCUUAUUUGAAAAAAUAUUUCCCUUCAAAGAAGAACCAAAACAAUACCAAGAAGAUUUUUUUUGAUGAAAACACACCAGAAACAGAAAAUACACAAAAACAAAACACAUACACAAUAAUACGUUCUUCACAAGAAGAACAUAUUGAAAAAACACAACAUGAAAUAAGAGGAACACCAAGUACUUUAGAAAACAGUAGACCAAAAAGGAAGAGAAAAACACCAUCAUAUUUAAAAGAUUUUUCUCUACAACUAGCAACGAUUAGAUAUUCCAUAGAAAACAUGUUAUCUUACAAAAACUUCACCCCUGAACACUCUGCAUUACUAGCAACAAUAAAAAACAAUAUAGAUCCAACCCCUUAUAAAGAAGCAUCCAAACACACAAAAUGGAAUAAUGUCAUGCAACAAGAGCUACAAGCUUUUGAAAAUAAGAAAACAUAGAUUAUCACAAGCAUGCCCAAAGACAAAAAAUCCAUUGGCUGUAAAUGGGUUUAUAAAACCAAAUUUAACAGUGAUGGAAGCAUCGAAAAAUACAAAACAAGACUAGUGGCAAAAGGUUACAACCAAAUCGAAGGCAUUGACUUCACAAAGACAUUUGCCUCUGUCUCUAAAAUGACAACCUUAAAGAUUGUCCUAGCUGUUGCAGUAUCACAAAAAUGAAACAUGAAUCAAAUGAAUGUCCAAAAUGCAUUCUUACAUGAAAAUCUAGAAGAGACUAUCUACAUGAAGAUCCCAUUGGGAUUAGAAUUACCUAAGAAUGCACCACAUAACCCUAUUUGUAAAUUAAACAAAUCAUUAUAUGGUUUGAAACAAGCAUCCAGAGUUUGGUAUCAAAUUAUGUCAAAUGCUCUGUCCAACCUUAGAUACAAACAAUGCAGAACAGACUACUCUCUGUUUAUAAAUAAAAAUAAACAAGACACUACAAUAAUCUUAACAUAUGUUGAUGAUCUACUAAUCACAGACAACAACAUAAACAAAAUAAAAACACUAAAGAAAAAUCUACAAGGUAAAGACCUUGGAGAACUCAAGUAUUUUAUAAAACUUGAAUUUACCAAAACACCAAAUGACCUAUACAUUGGUCAAAGAAAAUACACACUAGAUUUACUAGAAAAAUACAAACUCACACAAUGCAAACCAAACAAAACACCAAAUAAUCACAAAUAAAUAUUUAACCACAAAACAAACAAGUUUACUGAAUUCCCUACCAAUAAUAACACAUAACAAAUCUCCAAUGUAAUCAAACAAAACAAAAAAAUGAAAUUUUAUUACAAGACCCACAAAAAUAUAGAAGCAUAGUUGGGAAACUAGUAUACCUAACAUGCACAAGACCAGACAUAUCUUAUGUUGUAACCUAUCUAAGCCAACACAUGGCAACACCAGCAGAAUCACAAAUGAAGGCAGCAUACAGAGUUCUAAGAUACAUUAAAGGAUCACCUGGAUUAGGAUUACAUUUUUCAUCAGGCUCCUCAAUAGACCACAUUGGAGCCUUCACAGACUCUGAUUGGGCAAGUUGCCCGACCACCAAACGAUCAACAUCCGAAUUUGCCAUAUUCCUAGGAUCGUCUCUAAUAUCAUGGAAAUAAAAAAAAACAAAUAAUAUCAAGAUCAUCAGCAGAGGCUGAAUACCGUGCACUAGCCUAUACUACAUGUGAAAUAACAUGGUUAAAAAUGCUGCUAUAAGAAAUAGGAGUUUACCAGAUUGGAAAAUCACCGACUCCUAGAGUGUUCACCGACAGCACCGCGGCAGAGGCAAUAGCAAGAAACCCUAUCUCCCACCAAAUAACCAAACACAUAGAGAUUGAUCUCCACACGGUGAGGGACAAGGUUUUAGCGGGAGAUAUUACACUAAAAUACGUCUUCAGUGCACAAAACAUUGGUGAUAUUUUCACCAAACCCCUAAGAGGUCCGACUUUUCGAAAUUUAAUCCAGAAGUGUGACUCCUCGACAUCCACAAACAAAAUUCAAACCCAGUUAAUUGAUUACAACACCCUAUUGCGCCUACAUAUUCAAAUCAAACCAGUUUUGAUUUGAGGGAGGAUAUUAGAAAUAUAACCCCGCAAGAAUUAUAAAUAUUAAAUAUACCCUUAUUGUAAAUAUCAAUCUCAGAACCUUGAGAUUCAUAGAUAUCAAACAUACAUCAUAUUAAGUAUAUUUAUUUUAACUUCAUAUUCAAUAUUAACUUCUCACAUUCCUUUUUAAAAAUUCUCAUAGAUAAUUAAUUCCAUAUCCAACACAUUUAAUUUCAUAUUAGUAAUCAAUAUUAAGCACCAACAUAGCCGUUGGGUGUUUACUAUUUAAGCCUACCCACACCUUCAUCACAAGUACGUUUUUACACUCUAUAAUCACCAUACACAUAUCGCUGAUCAUUUUCAACACACUUAUUUGCUCUAUACUUCCGCAUCACAACUCAAUUGGAACUUCAUCAAACCUGCAAAUCGUCCGUUGGAUUAUCGAGCUAUCUUUCAAUCAAUCGAUCAUCAAGCAGUAUCAUUAUUGUUUAUAUACUUAAGUAUUACAUAUUCCAUUCAAUCAUUCAUAACAUUGCUUAAGUAUUAUACACAUAUAUAUAGGGCAAGCAUCAGGUGUGCCAUAUAUGUAUCAUUCGUUGUAGACCGUCGGAUGACUCAUCCUACGGUCAGCAGAAAUACCUCGAGAUCCUAGCCACCAUUGUACAUCAUUCAGUUGUUAAUGUAUGAUACCAUCAUAUCCAUUAAUUUACUCAUCAUACGUUCCACAAGAAACGACAGAUAAAUGGCACACCUGGAAAUGGCACACCUGAUACAAUUCCUAUAUAUAUAAUUGUUUAAUUAUAUAAACCAUUCCAAAACUCUAUCAAAAAGUAACGAACAACCCGACGAUCCUUGUGAUUGCGAUGGACCGGACGUUCCAAAUAGAUUCCCAGUUGAGAGAGAGGAGAAAAGAUUGCCACCUAAGGCGGAAUGAAGCAAAGUUGGAUGUAGAACCAAACCUGAAUGGUGAAGAAGACGCCGUCGUUUCCGUAGUCAUCGACGAAGAAACAGUACUAGUGUCACUACUCGCAAUGCCGAAGGAGAAAGACGACGUCAUCUCCGUCGAGCAGUUAGUUAUUCCGUUGCAGAUUUCUGAAAUUCAGAUCGAAGAGAUUUAUGGGUUUUAUACGGGUUUUAUAAACCGGAUCUAAACUAAAACCCGAAUAAAAUUCUUAUCUCUUAGUCCACUUUCCAGUUCCCUUCAGGCUUUUCCAUUUCUUGUUUAUCGACCGA